Molecule: long non-coding RNA, 325 nt
Filed under: Ananas comosus (pineapple)
Lineage: Eukaryota; Viridiplantae; Streptophyta; Magnoliopsida; Poales; Bromeliaceae
Description: long non-coding RNA (ACOM_LNC040196)
Source: RNAcentral
UCUCUCUCUCUCUCUAAAUUAUUACUUGCAUCUGCUAUGCCACAUCAUCUGUACACUGCCCUCCAUCGCAUCUCGUAUCUUCAAUCCAAGUGAACAUACUAUCUCAUGCGUUCAAUCCAACAAUUUAAAAACAAACAUCUUGUAUAGUAAUAAUUGGGGUACUAUAGAAUAUCCUUCUAAAUGCUCAUGACAAGUCUGCUGUUUGACAUGACACUUCAUUAAACCACCAAACCAAAAGAAUGAAAUGAAUCAGUAAUCAAAAGGUCUAUAAAAAAAUUUUGAGUCAUCAACCUAGGAUGUAAGAUUUACACCUAUCUUGAAAAUG